UACGUAGGCAGCGAGCGUUGUUCGGAGUUACUGGGCGUAAAGGGUGUGUAGGCGGUUCUUUAAGUUUGGUGUGAAAUCUCCCGGCUCAACCGGGAGGGUGCGCCGAAUACUGAGGGACUAGAGUGCGGGAGAGGAAAGUGGAAUUCCUGGUGUAGCGGUGAAAUGCGUAGAUAUCUGCAGGAACACCCGUGGCGAAAGCGGCGCGCUGGACCACUACUGACGCUGAGGAACGAAAGCUAGGGGAGCAAACAGG
This 253-nucleotide ribosomal RNA is filed under the name uncultured bacterium. RNAcentral describes it as "partial 16S ribosomal RNA". It matches the Rfam family "Bacterial small subunit ribosomal RNA", at positions 524 to 776 of the family's 1533-position model. The record is from RNAcentral.